CCUUAGCGCGGUGGUCCCACCUGACCCCAUGCCGAACUCAGAAGUGAAACGCCGUAGCGCCGAUGGUAGUGUGGGGUCUCCCCAUGCGAGAGUAGGGAACUGCCAGGU
Molecule: ribosomal RNA, 108 nt
Filed under: Escherichia coli
Lineage: Bacteria; Pseudomonadati; Pseudomonadota; Gammaproteobacteria; Enterobacterales; Enterobacteriaceae
Source: RNAcentral